CCUACGGGUGGCAGCAGUGAGGAAUAUUGGUCAAUGGACGAGAGUCUGAACCAGCCAAGUAGCGUGAAGGAUGACUGCCCUAUGGGUUGUAAACUUCUUUUAUAAAGGAAUAAAACGAGGCACGUGUGCCUUUUUGCAUGUACUUUAUGAAUAAGGAUCGGCUAACUCCGUGCCAGCAGCCGCGGUAAUACGGAGGAUCCGAGCGUUAUCCGGAUUUAUUGGGUUUAAAGGGAGCGUAGAUGGGUUGUUAAGUCAGUUGUGAAAGUGUGCGGCUCAACCGUAAAAUUGCAAUUGAUACUGGCAGUCGUGAGUACAGUUGAGGUAGGCGGAAUUCGUGGUGUAGCGGUGAAAUGCUUAGAUAUCACGAAGAACCCCGAUUGCGAAGGCAGCUUACUAAACUGUGACUGACAUUGAUGCUCGAAAGUGUGGGUAUCAAACAGGAUUAGAUACCCCUGUAGUC
RNAcentral lists this ribosomal RNA (460 nucleotides) under uncultured bacterium. RNAcentral describes it as "partial 16S ribosomal RNA". It matches the Rfam family "Bacterial small subunit ribosomal RNA", at positions 338 to 795 of the family's 1533-position model. The record is from RNAcentral.